GAAUUGCCUUUGAUACUGUUAUUCUUGAGUGUAGUUGAAGUGGGCGGAAUUAUAGCAUUGUACGGUGAAAUGGCUAGAUAUGCUAUAGAACACCAAUUGCGAAGGCAGCUCGCUAAACUAUAACUGACGCUGAGGCACGAAAGCGUGGGGAGCGAACAGGAUUAGAUACCCUGGUAGUCCACGCCGUAAACGAUGAACACUCGCUGUUGGCGAUACACAGUCAGCGGCUUAGCGAAAGCGUUAAGUGUUCCACCUGGGAAUUACGAUCGCAAGGUUGAAACUCAAAGGAAUUGACGGGGGCCCGCACAAGCGGAGGAGCAUGUGGUUUAAUUCGAUGAUACGCGAGGAACCUUACCUGGGCUUAAAUGCAUAUUGACGUACUGUGAAAGCA
RNAcentral lists this ribosomal RNA (391 nucleotides) under uncultured bacterium. Its description in RNAcentral is "bacterial SSU rRNA". It matches the Rfam family "Bacterial small subunit ribosomal RNA", at positions 618 to 1009 of the family's 1533-position model. The record is from RNAcentral.